RNAcentral lists this ribosomal RNA (626 nucleotides) under Rhopalonychus levatorponderis. RNAcentral describes it as "SSU rRNA". It matches the Rfam family "Eukaryotic small subunit ribosomal RNA", at positions 7 to 612 of the family's 1831-position model. The record is from RNAcentral. Lineage: Eukaryota; Metazoa; Arthropoda; Insecta; Coleoptera; Elmidae.
GUUGAUCCUGCCAGUAGUCAUAUGCUUGUCUCAAAGAUUAAGCCAUGCAUGUCUCAGUACAAGCCGAAUUAAGGUGAAACCGCGAAAGGCUCAUUAAAUCAGUUAUGGUUCCUUAGAUCGUACCCACAUUUACUUGGAUAACUGUGGUAAUUCUAGAGCUAAUACAUGCAAAUAGAGCUCCGACCGGAGACGGAAGGAGCGCUUUUAUUAGAUCAAAACCAAUCGGCGGCGGGCUCGCUCGUCGUCGUACAACUUGGUGAAUCUGAAUAACUUUCUGCUGAUCGCAUGGUCUCGCACCGGCGACGCAUCUUUCAAAUGUCUGCCUUAUCAACUGUCGAUGGUAGGUUCUGCGCCUACCAUGGUUGUAACGGGUAACGGGGAAUCAGGGUUCGAUUCCGGAGAGGGAGCCUGAGAAACGGCUACCACAUCCAAGGAAGGCAGCAGGCGCGCAAAUUACCCACUCCCGGCACGGGGAGGUAGUGACGAAAAAUAACGAUACGGGACUCAUCCGAGGCCCCGUAAUCGGAAUGAGUACACUCUAAACCCUUUAACGAGGAUCAAUUGGAGGGCAAGUCUGGUGCCAGCAGCCGCGGUAAUUCCAGCUCCAAUAGCGUAUAUUAAAGUUG